GUUGACUUUGGAUUACAGCUUAUAGGCGCUGAUCUUAUGUCAAUACUUGGCCUUUACAAAUUUGUUCAGGGAAACUUGGUGGAACAAAAGGAUUUGCGAAGGAAGGCUCACUGCUAGUACUAGUGUAGAGAAAAACAGAAGGCUUUUUUUCUGUAAAUUUCUGGAACCUAAAUAUUUAAGAUGGAUAAGUCAUGGAUGCAUGCUGAUAGAAGGUCAAAGAAGUUUGAGCUAGGAGUAGCAGAGUUUCUCAAGUUGGCCGAGUCUAAUGCCAAUAACAAAAACAAG
Molecule: long non-coding RNA, 285 nt
Organism: Rosa chinensis
Lineage: Eukaryota; Viridiplantae; Streptophyta; Magnoliopsida; Rosales; Rosaceae
Exons: 3
Source: RefSeq, a predicted model, not a curated record